CUGGUUGAUCCUGCCGGACCCGACUGCUAUCGGAGUGAGACUAAGCCAUGCGAGUCGUGCGCUCCGGGCUGGCGGAGCGCGGCGUACGGCUCAGUAACACGUGGUCAACCUACCCUGCGGACGGCUAUAACCCCGGGAAACUGGGGCUAAUAGCCGAUAGGGGAUAGGUGCUGGAAGGCCCUGUCCUCGAAAGGCCUAACCACCCAUGCCGUGGUUAGGCGCCGCAGGAUGGGACUGCGCCCUAUCAGGUAGACGGUGGGGUAACGGCCCACCGUGCCUGUAACGGGUGCGGGCCCUGGGAGGGGGAGCCCGGAGAUGGGCACUGAGACAAGGGCCCAGGCCCUACGGGGCGCAGCAGGCGCGAAAACUCCGCUAUGCGCGAAAGCGCGACGGGGUCACUCCGAGUGCCGCCCGCUGAGGGCGGCUUUUGCCCAGUCCAAAAGGCUGGGCGAAUAAGGGGAGGGCAAGUUUGGUGUCAGCCGCCGCGGUAAUACCAACUCCCCGAGUGGUCGGGACGAUUAUUGGGCUUAAAGCGUCCGUAGCCGGCCCGGUGUGUCUCUGGUCAAAUCCGGCGUCUCAAGCGCCGGACCGCCGGAGAUACUACUGGGCUAGGGAGCGGGAGAGGCGGGCGGUAUUCCCUGGGUAGGGGUAAAAUCCUAAGAUCCAGGGAGGACCAUCGGUGGCGAAGGCGGCCCGCUAGAACGCGUCCGACGGUGAGGGACGAAAGCUGGGGGAGCGAUCCGGAUUAGAUACCCGGGUAGUCCCAGCCGUAAACGAUGCAGGCUAGGUGUGUGGACGCCUUAGGGGCGUCCAUGUGCCGAAGGGAAACCGUUAAGCCUGCCGCCUGGGGAGUACGGCCGCAAGGCUGAAACCCUAGGAGGCCCUUAACUGAUAUAAUGAGGAAGGGUACUCCUAGGGCAGCACACUUAAAGGAAUUGGCGGGGGAGCACCACAAGGGGUGGAGCCUGCGGUUCAAUUGGAGUCAACGCCGG
This 992-nucleotide ribosomal RNA is filed under the name uncultured archaeon 20b-25. RNAcentral's name for it is "bacterial SSU rRNA". It matches the Rfam family "Archaeal small subunit ribosomal RNA", at positions 4 to 921 of the family's 1478-position model. The record is from RNAcentral.